Molecule: ribosomal RNA, 468 nt
Filed under: uncultured bacterium
Lineage: Bacteria
Description: partial 16S ribosomal RNA
Rfam family: Bacterial small subunit ribosomal RNA
Source: RNAcentral
GACGAACGCUGGCGGCGUGCUUAACACAUGCAAGUCGAACGGAAAGGCCCUGCUUUUGUGGGGUGCUCGAGUGGCGAACGGGUGAGUAAAACGUGAGUAACCUGCCCUUGACUUUGGGAUAACUUCAGGAAACUGGGGCUAAUACCGGAUAGGAGCUCCUGCUGCAUGGCGGGGGUUGGAAAGUUUCGGCGGUUGGGGAUGGACUCGCGGCUUAUCAGCUUGUUGAUGGGGUAGUGGCUUACCAAGGCUUUGACGGGUAGCCAGCGUGAGAGGGUGACCGGCCACAUUGGGACUGAGUUCCGGCCCAGACUCCUACGCGCGGCAUCAGUGGGGAAUACUGCACCAUGGGCGGACGCCUGCUGCAGCAACGUCUCGUACGGGAUGACCGCCUUCGGGUUGUAAACCGCUUUCGCCUGUGACGAAGCGCGAGUUACGGUAAUAAGUUAAGACGCCCCGGCUAUAUUCGUG